Non-coding RNA from Cinara cedri, 218 nucleotides. NCBI's taxonomy places the organism in Eukaryota, Metazoa, Arthropoda, Insecta, Hemiptera, Aphididae. The record is from the annotation of a GenBank genome assembly.
CGUUUUCUGUGCCGGCCGUUUAUGCUCGAUAAUAAAAUGCACCGUUCGAUUCGCCCGUUCGCCACACGAAUCGAUAGUGUAAUAUUUAAUGGCCGUAAAAAUGGAAAAAUUACCGACGUCCUUCGCGUGUUUCCAAGUGAUAUUCGUGUAGGUUAAUUUAAUUAAAGGAACACCACGUCCAAUACAACCGUCCGCGUCUUACGUACGGAAUUUGCGUU